This 253-nucleotide ribosomal RNA is filed under the name uncultured bacterium. RNAcentral describes it as "partial 16S ribosomal RNA". It matches the Rfam family "Bacterial small subunit ribosomal RNA", at positions 524 to 776 of the family's 1533-position model. The record is from RNAcentral.
CACGUAGGAGGCGAGCGUUGUCCGGAAUCAUUGGGCGUAAAGAGCGCGCAGGCGGCUUGGCAAGUCGGGUGUGAAAUCCCGGGGCUCAACCCCGUGACUGCAUCCGAUACUGUCAGGCUAGAGGUAGGUAGGGGAGAUCGGAAUUCCUGGUGUAGCGGUGAAAUGCGCAGAUAUCAGGAGGAACACCGGUGGCGAAGGCGGAUCUCUGGGCCUUACCUGACGCUCAGGCGCGAGAGCUAGGGGAGCGAACAGG